UAGGGAAUCUUCCACAAUGGACGCAAGUCUGAUGGAGCAACGGCCGCGUGAGUGAAGAAGGUUUUCGGACCGUAAAGCUCUGUUGUUGGUGAAGAAGGAUAGAGGUAGUAACUGGCCUUUAUUUGACGGUAAUCAACCAGAAAGUCACGGCUAACUACGUGCCAGCAGCCGCGGUAAUACGUAGGUGGCAAGCGUUGUCCGGAUUUAUUGGGCGUAAAGCGAGCGCAGGCGGAAGAAUAAGUCUGAUGUGAAAGCCCUCGGCUUAACCGAGGAAUUGCAUCGGAAACUGUUUUUCUUGAGUGCAGAAGAGGAGAGUAGAACUCCAUGUGUAGCGGUGGAAUGCGUAGAUAUAUGGAAGAAUACCAGUGGCGAAGGCGGCUCUCUGGUCUGCAACUGACGCUGAGGCUCGAAAGCAUGGGUAGCGAACAGGAUUAGAUACCCUGGUAGUCCAUGCCGUAAACGAUGAGUGCUAAGUGUUGGGAGGCUUCCGCCUCUCAGUGCUGCAGCUAACGCAUUAAGCACUCCGCCUGGGGGAGUACGACCGCAAGGUUGAAACUC
RNAcentral lists this ribosomal RNA (558 nucleotides) under uncultured bacterium. RNAcentral describes it as "partial 16S ribosomal RNA". It matches the Rfam family "Bacterial small subunit ribosomal RNA", at positions 355 to 902 of the family's 1533-position model. The record is from RNAcentral.